AAGUGAUCAACCCCUCUAAACAUGUAUUGAUUUAGUUUAUAUAUAAUUGGGGGUUUAGACUAGAUCUUAAAUGAAUGAGGGAGUGUACACUAGACUAUGUUAGCAUCCCUUUCCUGGCACAUAUGGUGUGAAAGGAACAUGGGAUUAAAACAAAAACAACACACCCAAAGACCCCCAUAAAUUGUCAGUAGAAUUUUUUUAAAGGAUGUGAGCAUUGCAUAUGAAUCCAAACUAUACGCUAUAUCUAUAAGAGAUACAAACUUUUACAGAUUGAAAUACAAACUAUACGCUCAUGGGAGUCCAACCUCUUGAGGCUUCAAUCUUUGGCUAGAUAAUCAUGGUCACAAUUGUAUAAGAGAUAGACAAUGUUUUACAUUUAAUGUUUUUUACAUUUAUUGUAUUUGCAUUUCCCUAUAUGGCUAUAUCUAUAACCUUGGGUUCUGCCCAAUCUUCUUUUUCAGUAAUAAAAGUUUUAAUUUGCUAAUAAAUAAAUACAUUAAAGUUGUGCUUUCAAUUAUCAACAUCAAGUACUUUCACGUAACAACUUAAUAAAGUUGGGCAGAGCCCAAGGUUACAAUUUUAUAGGGUGUCACUUUUUUUAUCAUUCAGGACUUAGGAGUUGAACCAUAUAAAAAACCUCUUAUUAUAAUCCUUCUUUUUGAUAGAAUUGAAAUUUCAUUCAUGAAAAAUGAAAAAAAAGGAUAGUGCCUGAUAAUUACAAAUAAAUGGGAAUGAGUAAACUUUGGUUGGAGCCAUUUGGUUGGAAAAGCCUUAAUUUUCUAAUAAAUAAAUAAAUAAAUUAAAGUUGUGCUUUCAAUUAUCAAGUACUUUCACUUGACAACUUAAUAAAGUUGGGCAGAGCCCAAG
This 867-nucleotide long non-coding RNA is filed under the name Zostera marina. RNAcentral describes it as "long non-coding RNA (ZMAR_LNC002273)". Lineage: Eukaryota; Viridiplantae; Streptophyta; Magnoliopsida; Alismatales; Zosteraceae. The record is from RNAcentral.